GACGAACCGUGCGAACGUUAUUCGGAAUCACUGGGCUUAAAGCGCGUGUAGGCGGGCCGCCACGUCAGUUGCUGAAAUCCCCCGGCUCAACCGGGGAAGGGGCACUGAGACGAGCGGCCUGGAGGGAGGUAGGGGGGGCUGGAACUUCCGGUGGAGCGGUGAAAUGCGUUGAGAUCGGAAGGAACGCCCGUGGCGAAAGCGAGCCCCUGGACCUUUUCUGACGCUGAGACGCGAAAGCUAGGGGAGCGAACGGG
RNAcentral lists this ribosomal RNA (254 nucleotides) under uncultured bacterium. Its description in RNAcentral is "partial 16S ribosomal RNA". It matches the Rfam family "Bacterial small subunit ribosomal RNA", at positions 524 to 776 of the family's 1533-position model. The record is from RNAcentral.